Molecule: long non-coding RNA, 405 nt
Filed under: Coffea arabica (coffee)
Lineage: Eukaryota; Viridiplantae; Streptophyta; Magnoliopsida; Gentianales; Rubiaceae
Description: long non-coding RNA (CARA_LNC002932)
Source: RNAcentral
GGACAGAAGAAGGAAGAAAGGAAAAAAUUUUCCCUCCCUCUCUCGGCUAGCUCUUAACAGACGAGAACAAAAACCAAACAAAAGAAAAAAAAAACUACUUCCUUAAUCUCCUCUCUCGGCUCUCACGGACAGAGGACAAGAAGAAAAAAAAAGACUCCACCCUUUUGGCUCAAUUUGCUCUCUCGGCUCUCUCCCUCAUCAGACAAGAGGAACAAAAAAAAAAAAAAAAAAAAAAGGGGGCUCCCUCUACACAUUUUCUUCCACAAAAUCCAAACACAUUUGCACACAACAAGGCAGCAAUCGGUUGGAUUGGAGCUUGGCAAUUUCAUCAAAAAUCUUGGCAAAGGGACCAAACUCUUCAUUGAGGACAAUUUGACUCCAUUUAGUCACCACUUCAAACGGGAG